UACAGAGGGGGCAAGCGUUGUUCGGAAUUACUGGGCGUAAAGGGCGCGUAGGCGGCCGCCUAAGUCAGACGUGAAAUCCCUCGGCUCAACCCGGGAACUGCGUCCGAUACUGGCAGGCUUGAAUCCGGGAGAGGGAUGCGGAAUUCCAGGUGUAGCGGUGAAAUGCGUAGAUAUCUGGAGGAACACCGGUGGCGAAGGCGGCAUCCUGGACCGGCAUUGACGCUGAGGCGCGAAAGCCAGGGGAGCAAACGGG
RNAcentral lists this ribosomal RNA (253 nucleotides) under uncultured bacterium. Its description in RNAcentral is "partial 16S ribosomal RNA". It matches the Rfam family "Bacterial small subunit ribosomal RNA", at positions 524 to 776 of the family's 1533-position model. The record is from RNAcentral.